UCCAGGGUAAGAAAUAUCGACCGGGCGC
This 28-nucleotide non-coding RNA is filed under the name Homo sapiens (human). Lineage: Eukaryota; Metazoa; Chordata; Mammalia; Primates; Hominidae. The record is from RNAcentral.